Molecule: RNA transcript, 2382 nt
Organism: Cyprinodon variegatus (sheepshead minnow)
Lineage: Eukaryota; Metazoa; Chordata; Actinopteri; Cyprinodontiformes; Cyprinodontidae
Gene name: sialic acid-binding Ig-like lectin 14
Exons: 7
Source: RefSeq, a predicted model, not a curated record
GGAAACUUCCCGUGUACAGAGCCAAAAACCCAGAGGGCUCAGCAGGGGAGGAACAGCGGACAAGCAGGAGACGAGACGGACACAAAACCCUCUUUCCACUGGCUGCCAGGAUCCAGCACAAGAACCUUGGAAUCCACAUAACAGACAGGCUAAAAAAACAGUUAAUGAUCUGGACCCUAAUGCUCAGGCUGAACUGAAUAUAAACCAAAGGAAAAAGAUAAGAGGAAUAAAUGAUAAUUGAGGCAGGGAGGGAAAAACGACAGGUGAAAGAAACAACUAAUUAAGGGAGAGCAAACAGGCCAGAUCAUGACACGUAGGUGUGAUUUAUUGUCUAAACUUUGCUUUGAUUCAGGUUCAGUAAUUCUCUAUAACUUCUUCACCAGAGUUUCAUCCUGUUGGGACUGAAUGUUUCCAGCAUCAAAUCAGGAUGUUGGUUUUCAUCUGGAUAAUUGUGUCUCUCUCUACUAACAACGGUGCAUUAGGACAGGAAGAAAAGUGUGAACAACAACCUGAUUACUGUGUUUCUCUCUCUACAACCAUAACAGCAGAGGCUGGACUCUGUGCUGUGAUACCAUGUUCUUUCAAAUCUAAAUUUGAGCCAAAAGUUAUUAUUUGGUCUAAAUGCGAAAACCCCCAAAACCGAUGUACAUAUUCUGACCGUGUCUUUCACUCUGACAAGAGCAAUACAGACGUUCAGCCUGGGUUCAAAGGUCGAAUAUCACUGCUGGAGCCUGAUGUGACUCAGAGGAACUGCAGCAUCAUAAUCAAUGAUCUCAGAAAGUCUGAUUCUGGAUAUUAUCUGCUCAAAGUUGAAGGAGACGGAAGUGGGGAGAAAUAUUCUUAUACUGUUUCAUACACCAAUCUCUCUGUAAAAGAUCUUAACCAAAAGCCAGAAGUAAAGAUUCCUCCUCUGAUUGAGGGACAGCAGGUCACUCUGAGCUGCACUGCUCCUGGUUUCUGCUCUGGGUCUCCUCCUAAAAUCACCUGGAUGUGGAGAAGAAAAGGAGAGAAGGACUCUCACAUCCAGGGAAACAUCACUGCUUCAAAAACUGAGAAUCUGACCGCUGUCACACAGAGUCACAGCUCAACUCUGACCUUUAAACCUUCAGCUGAAAAUCACCACAACACCAAUAUAACCUGUCGGGUCAGUUUCACAGGAAAUGAAACCAGAAAGAGGACUGAAACACUGAAUGUAAACUAUAUCAGAAAACCUCAGAUAAGUGGUAGAACAACAGUGAUGGAGGGAGAUGAUCUGAAUCUGACCUGCAGUGUGGACAGCUUCCCUCCAUCAGUUAUCAGACUUUAGAAAACCUCAGAUCUUUGGCAAAACCACAGUAAAGGAAGGAGAUGAUCUGAAUCUGACCUGCAGUGUUGACAGCUUCCCUCCGUCAUUCAUAAAGUGGACUAAAGUUGGAACAGAAACUGACCUGCAAUCCAACAUUUUAAACAAGUCUUAUAACAGCACUCAAACAUUCCUGAAUGAGAGUCCUCAUAAUUCUUCUUUGCUCAUCAUUAAUGUAACAUCAGAAGACGCUGGACGCUACAUUUGUACAGCAACAUACCAGAAUGACACCCUGACAGAAGAAGUCAUUGUUCAUGUGACAUCUAAUCAUGUGACACAUUGUGGGGUUGGCUGUGCAGCUCUUCCCUGGGCCAUUGCUGGUGUUUCACUUAGUGUAAAUGUUCUCUGUAUGAUCUACAUUUGGCUCCUUUGGAACACAAGAAAAAAGAUGAAACCCACUGAAGGUGACCCAACUUACAUGUUUCUACAGAAAUCUGAUACAUCAGCAGGGUAUGACACCAUUGUCCAACGACCACGCUGACAUGUCUACAGGAAUCAUUGAAACUUGGAUCUAACCUGCUUAAAACUGGACUUUUAUUAAAUAUACUGUUAAGGGAUGCAAAAGAAAAGAAGAGAGCAUGUAUGUUAAUAAUGUGUCGAUUAAUUUAGUCUUUUCACGUUAGCUUCUUUCAUCUCUUGGUUUUGGUCACUGAAGUUUAAUAUUUAGUUUAUUUUCAGUAUUUACCAAUGGUGUAGUGGACAGAUUUUUUCAGUAAUGUAGGUAAAAAAAAAAAACUCCUAAGUCAUUUCCUGAAUAACUGCACGUGUGAAAAACCAUUCUACCCUUUCUUCUGGAAUCACCAGGAAGAAUCUCUCAAAUAUAUUCUGGCUAUAUUGACCGUUUCCAUGGUGAUGUGGUUAUAGUCUCAGACUGAAAUGAGGGGAUCCAACCCCUGAUGGACCCCUGGGUGUGUCAGGAAGGGCAUCUGGUGUAAAAUCUUUGCAAAGUUUACCAGCUAGUUGUAAGGAUUUGUUAUAGCGAACCUUGAACAAGGGAGCAAGAACACACACUGUUCUAAGCCUUUCUUUCCUACUUAUAA